UAGGGAAUCUUCGGCAAUGGGGGCAACCCUGACCGAGCAACGCCGCGUGAGUGAAGAAGGUUUUCGGAUCGUAAAGCUCUGUUGUAAGAGAAGAACGUGUGUGAGAGUGGAAAGUUCACACAGUGACGGUAACUUACCAGAAAGGGACGGCUAACUACGUGCCAGCAGCCGCGGUAAUACGUAGGUCCCGAGCGUUGUCCGGAUUUAUUGGGCGUAAAGCGAGCGCAGGCGGUUUAAUAAGUCUGAAGUUAAAGGCAGUGGCUUAACCAUUGUUCGCUUUGGAAACUGUUAAACUUGAGUGCAGAAUGGGAGAGUGGAAUUCCAUGUGUAGCGAUGAAAUGCGUAGAUAUAUGGAGGAACACCGGUGGCGAAAGCGGCUCUCUGGUCUGUAACUGACGCUGAGGCUCGAAAGCGUGGGGAGCAAACAGG
Molecule: ribosomal RNA, 429 nt
Filed under: bacterium
Lineage: Bacteria
Description: partial 16S ribosomal RNA
Rfam family: Bacterial small subunit ribosomal RNA
Source: RNAcentral